RNAcentral lists this ribosomal RNA (780 nucleotides) under Cosmocerca sp. RNAcentral's name for it is "partial large subunit ribosomal RNA". It matches the Rfam family "Eukaryotic large subunit ribosomal RNA", at positions 350 to 954 of the family's 3401-position model. The record is from RNAcentral. Lineage: Eukaryota; Metazoa; Nematoda; Chromadorea; Rhabditida; Cosmocercidae.
CCCGUGAGGAAAGUUGCAAAGAACUUUGAAGAGAGAGUUCAAGAGGGCGUGAAACCGCUGAGAUGGAAACGGAUAGAGUUAACGAAACUCGGCGGCAUUCAACUGGUCAGCCUAGCGGCCUUGCGGAUUUGUGCCUCGAUGAGGGCAGAGACGUGAGUGUCUGUUGGGCAUCGGCUAGUGUAUUUGCCGUCGGUAUGCGCUGAGAGCCUCGGCUUCGUGCGUUGACGCUCAUGUAGUGGACCACUCCUUCCGGGCGUGGAACCCUGCGUGGGUUGAGACACAUCGGUGCUGGGGUUUGCUUAUCGUCUCCGCUUCGCGCAACGGUCGCUACGUGUUUGGCGCUGCUGUUGGACGGUCGCAUGCGACUUGUCUACAGUUGGUGCUGAUCCGCGGUGAUGCAGUUGCGUUGAGACGCUUAUCUCGGUGUGAAAGUUGACCACCUAUCCGACCCGUCUUGAAACACGGACCAAGGAGUCUAGCAUAUGCGCGAGUCAUUGGGUGGUAAACCUAAAGGCGUAAUGAAAGUAAAGGUCGCCUCGAUGCGGCUGAUAUGGGAUCUGUGCGGUUUCGACUGCGCGGCGCACCAUAGCCCCGUCCCCGUUGCUUGCAAUAGGGCGGAGGUAGAGCGCAUACGCUGGGACCCGAAAGAUGGUGAACUAUGCCUGAGCAGGAUGAAGCCAGAGGAAACUCUGGUGGAGGUCCGAAGCGGUUCUGACGUGCAAAUCGAUCGUCUGACUUGGGUAUAGGGGCGAAAGACUAAUCGAACCAUCUAGUAGCUGG